Perca flavescens (yellow perch) is the source of this 1658-nucleotide long non-coding RNA. RefSeq lists it as uncharacterized. The record is from RefSeq and is a predicted model, not a curated record. Lineage: Eukaryota; Metazoa; Chordata; Actinopteri; Perciformes; Percidae. The transcript is spliced from 3 exons.
CCCAUGAUCAUUUCCUGUCAGUAAUGGAGCCCGGAGGAAGCUACUAGCGUUAGCUAGCUGCUUCUAAUGGUGCUCAAGUAGCUGUAACAAGACAAAACUUGGCUACAUUUUCACAAAAUAACUGAGAGAAAGAGAGUAGGCUAAGUUCAGUCGCCGUUCUCAACGUUUUCCCAUUCAGGCAGUAGGUAGAGAAAUGUAAAGUAGCGUUAGCUGCUAAUUUAGCACCAAAACAGCCUGCUGGCACCAACUUUACCGGAUGUAGAGGAAAUACAGAGGUUUAAUGGACCGUUAAAGAAGAGGCACUUUUCAUCACUUGGUAAAGUCGCCUACUGGACGUCUGGCGUGGCAUCAAUGGUGACAGACUGAACUUUGGUAAUAUUCACCUGAGAGAAAACUGGCUGAUGAAUAAUUGGACUAUGGAAUAUUAUCAUUGAAGACAUUAAAGAGACUUGAGAGCUCAGGGUCAGUUACAGAGCAGCACCACUGGACCUGCAGGAAAAGAGACAGAUGCAAGCUGGGAUUCCUGCAUAUGAAGAAUUUGCUGUGGUUCCACAUAAUCUGGGUGCAUUGACCAAGGUAAAACCAUUCAUUGAGAAGCUUAUACUGUCCUCUCACUUUCAUUUCCAUAGUCCAAAAAGGAUGAACUGACACAUACAGUAGUCCCACAGCCUGUCUCUGUUGACUGGUGACCUGUCUGAGCCUUGCUACAGCACAUCAUUAUCCAGGCCACCUGCUAGUCUGGCAACAGAUGGGAGAGGCUUACCUUGUGCGCCCCCCGACUGACAGCUCAAGUCAUGCAAGCAGACGUUUGUCAUUGACAACCACAACAAACUCUGCAUGACACUUGUAUGUUCAAACACUUCCCAUAUGUGGCUCUCUAAUGUGCAAGUGUUAGUUCAGAGUCAGUGAGAGAGAAGUUAUACUGAGAAAUGAAUGAAAUGCAAAGGAGGUUCUGGACAGAUUGUAGAUCUACAGAGUCUUGAGUUCAGCUAGGGUCACUACAACUGUGUUUACAAAAGCUAAACCAUUUCUGAAGGUUAAAUCUGUAUGUUUUCAUGUAUUGUCACAGAAGACAGGUAACUGUGUUGUUGUUUAAAGAAGGACAGAGCCUUUAGCGUUAUUUCUGUGGCUACUGUUCAGCGAACAUGGCUAGCAUAAAGCCUUCCAUAUGAUGUACAAAAUAUGGCCUAUAUACAAACUACAGUAUGGCUUAGUAAGAGGGCCUCAACUUCUCUUGAGUAAUCUCAUGCAAUGUUAUUUUUAGCCAUACUAGCAGCAUGGCUCAAGGGAUGACAAAGGCAAUGUCCUUGCAUGCACAUUAGCAUGCUGACCUUAGCAUUUAGCUGAAACCACUGCUCUGCCUAAGUACAGCUUACAGCGGCACAUUUCAAAAAUGUAGAUUGUGUAGUGGUUUAACAUUAUAAAAGUAAAAGGUUGAUCCAAAAUUCUCUUUUUUUCCUGUAAAUAUUGGACACACGCUUUAAAAGUGCAAUGAAAACAAUCUGUUAAGCAUAGCCUAUGUUUUAAAGAUACUUCUCUUUACCACUACAAAGUACAAUAUGCCAUUUAUUUGUUGGCCAACUGUCACUUUAAUUGUGUUAUUAAACUUAAUGAUUUGCAGUGUACAGAAACACCAGUGCAACAUUGUGUAUUAGUGU